UUGGGAAUCUUCCGCAAUGGACGAAAGUCUGACGGAGCAACGCCGCGUGAGUGAAGAAGGAUUUCGGUUCGUAAAACUCUGUUGUUAGGGAAGAAAAAAUGUAUAGUAACUAUAUACAAAAGAGACGGUACCUAACCAGAAAGCCACGGCUAACUACGUGCCAGCAGCCGCGGUAAUACGUAGGUGGCAAGCGUUGUCCGGAAUUAUUGGGCGUAAAGCGCGCGCAGGUGGUUUAGAAAGUCUGAUGUGAAAGCCCACGGCUCAACCGUGGAGGGUCAUUGGAAACUAAUAAACUUGAGUACAGGAGAUAAAAGAGGAAUUCCUAGUGUGGCGGUGAAAUGCGUAGAGAUUAGGAGGAACACCGGUGGCGAAAGCGGCUUUUUGGCCUGCAACUGACACUGAGGCGCGAAAGCAUGGGGAGCAAACAGG
Molecule: ribosomal RNA, 429 nt
Filed under: Verrucomicrobiota bacterium
Lineage: Bacteria; Pseudomonadati; Verrucomicrobiota
Description: Verrucomicrobia bacterium partial 16S ribosomal RNA
Rfam family: Bacterial small subunit ribosomal RNA
Source: RNAcentral